RNAcentral lists this transfer RNA (75 nucleotides) under Clostridia bacterium. RNAcentral describes it as "tRNA-Thr". It matches the Rfam family "tRNA". From Rfam's summary of the family: Transfer RNA (tRNA) molecules are approximately 80 nucleotides in length. Their secondary structure includes four short double-helical elements and three loops (D, anti-codon, and T loops). Lineage: Bacteria; Bacillati; Bacillota; Clostridia. The record is from RNAcentral.
GCCGACGUAGCUCAGUGGUAGAGCAGCGCACUCGUAAUGCGCAGGCCGUGGGUUCGAAUCCCACCGUCGGCUCCA